This 948-nucleotide long non-coding RNA is filed under the name Chrysemys picta bellii (western painted turtle). RNAcentral's name for it is "lncRNA (ENSCPBG00000010653.1)". The record is from RNAcentral. Lineage: Eukaryota; Metazoa; Chordata; Testudines; Emydidae.
ACUCCCUUAUUCUCUGCACAAGUAAAAAGGCUCUAUUAAGCCCCAUUGCAACACACUGCAAUCUGUUUGGAGUUGUAGGUUCUUAUGGCAGAUGACUUCUAAAAUAGACCACUAGCUACCUGUGAAGACACCAAAUCUAUGGAUUUCCACCCUGUCAGAAUCUAGACUGUUAUCCAGCUCUUUCCCCUUUACAUCCUUCACUAACUCCUCCCUCAACUAUCCAUCUGUCUCCCUUUCCUGUUGUUACCUCAAAAAUCGGUAACAGAUAAGUAAGACUAAGGUUCGGACCCAGAUUAAUAUCUCUAUUACUUUUAAAACCCAUAAGGUAAGUAAAAACAAUCCAGUGUAAAGAUAGAUUUACUAAGAUUUAUUAAAAUUAAACAAAUUAACAAAGGCAACAGAAUAAUAGCUCAGAGGUUUGACCCAAAAGGGCAUAAAGACCGGCUCCCUUCUACCCUGGCAAGCUAUGGGAACUCCUUUACUUGCAGGAAAUGACUUUCACCGGCAACUCAGAUGGAAAGGCAGACAGCUGGUUGUGACUGCAGACUACUACAGUUGCUGGAUUCCGGACCUGUAACUGCCUUAGAUAGGAUGACAGGAGGGACACGGACUGAAGCUGGAUCAGGAUACCCCACGAUGGUCUUCAGGAAAUGACUUUCACUGGCAACUCAGAUGGAAAGGCAGACAGCUGGUUGUGACUGCAGACUACUGCGGCAGUUGCUGGAUUCCAGACCUGUAGAUGGGAUGACAAGAGGGACACAGAUUGAAGGUGAACAGGAGUACUUGUGGCACCUUAGAGACUAACAAAUUUAUUAGAGCAUAAGCUUUCGUGGACUACAGCCCACUUCUUCGGAAGGUGGAUCAGGAUACCCUGCGAUGGUCUUCAGGUAGGUAUCUCAUGAAGACUCUUGCCUCUCGCUGUGUGCGCAGAACUAGGCAUUGUCUGCC